RNAcentral lists this ribosomal RNA (466 nucleotides) under uncultured bacterium. RNAcentral's name for it is "partial 16S ribosomal RNA". It matches the Rfam family "Bacterial small subunit ribosomal RNA", at positions 339 to 795 of the family's 1533-position model. The record is from RNAcentral.
CUACGGGUUGCUCCAGUGGGGAAUAUUGGACAAUGGGGGAAACCCUGAUCCAGCAAUGCCGCGUGUGUGAAGAAGGCCUGCGGGUUGUAAAGCACUUUCGGUUGGGAGGACUGCUUCUAGCACUAAUAUUGUUGGAAGUUGACGUUACCUUCAGAAGAAGCACCGGCUAACUCCGUGCCAGUAGGCCGCGGUAAUACGGAGGGUGCAAGCGUUAAUCGGAAUUACUGGGCGUAAAGCGCGCGUAGGCGGCUAGAUCAGUCGGGUGUGAAAGCCCCGGGCUUAACCUGGGAACUGCAUCCGAUACUGUCUAGCUUGAGUACAGGAGAGGAGAGUGGAAUUCCACAUGUAGCGGUGAAAUGCGUAGAUAUGUGGAGGAACACCAAUGGCGAAGGCAGCUCUCUGGCCUGAUACUGACGCUGAGGUGCGAAAGCGUGGGGAGCAAACAGGAUUAGAUACCCCCGUAGUC